AUGACGACACCUCGACCAACACAUCUUCACAGAAGAUCAUCCUCAAAAUGGGUUCCUCCAUCUGCACCACUUCAUAAUCCUAUUUCUAUUUUUCGAGGACGAAGUAACAGAGAAACUGGAUCUCGAGUGAUUCGUCCCAAUCAUCUAUUCGAAUCACCUCGUUACGAACUAAACAACUACCGAGACUUCACUGACAAUCGAAUUUCAACAACUAAAUACACAUUUUGGAACUUCAUUCCACUCAAUAUUUGGCAUCAAGUGUCCACAAAAUACGCAAAUCUAUAUUUUAUAUUUAUUGCAAUACUCAAUUGGGUACCAUUUUUUGAUGCUUACACAAGAUAUGUUGGAUUAAUACCAAUUUGUUUUGUAUUGGGAACAACUUUGAUCAAAGACGGAAUUGAAGAUUAUCGAAGAUAUAAGUUUGAUAAUCAGAUUAAUAAGAAAACAUGUCAUGUGUGGGAUCGAGAUAGAUGUGCAUUUCGAAAAACUGAAUGGAGAUAUAUAUUAGUUGGCGAUUUUGUACAUAUUUCAAAUAAUCAAGAUGUGCCAGCUGAUAUCAUUUUAUUACGUUCAUCAAGUGAAAGUGGAACAUGUUAUAUUGAAACAUGUAACUUAGAUGGUGAAACAUCAUUGAAACAAAGAAUGGUUCCUGCAAAAGUGAUUGAUUAUUCAAAGAAAGACUCUACCUUCAAGCCACCAGAUUUCACAGGAGUUGUGACAUGUGAGAAGCCAGAUAAAAGUAUUUACACAAUUAGAGCGAAAGUGGAAUUUGAACCAGGCCAAUCUGACGUCAUUAUCAAAGAAAACAUGCUUCUUCGGGGUUCCCGUAUCAAAAACACAACGUUUGUUGAGGGAAUUGUGGUUUAUGCAGGUCACGAUACAAAAGUGAUGCAGAACAAUGGACGAGCUCCACACAAAACAUCUGGAAUUGAAAAACUGACAAACAAAUUUAUAAUUGCUUGUUUCAUAAUGCUUCUCCUUAUGGUAUUGUAUGGCGCUAUCACUUCAGCAGUUUGGGUUGGACAACAUCCAGUUGAUGAACAGAUUCCAUUCAUUCUCUCAAACACACCGAGACCGUUCAUAGAGGGGUUCAUUGGCAUAGGUGCAUUCUUUAUCAACUAUCAACUUCUUGUGCCAAUUUCACUGUAUAUUACUGUAGAAAUUAUCAAAGCACUUCAAAUCUACUUUAUCAGCAAUGAUAUUCAGUUAUAUGAUCAGAAAUCGGAUAGAGCGAUUGAUUGUCGUUCUUUGAGUAUUCCCGAAGAACUUGGAACAGUCACACAUGUUCUUUCAGACAAAACAGGAACACUUACUGAAAAUAUGAUGAUAUUCAGAAAUUGUGCAUUCGAUGAAACAGAUUACGGUAGCAAUGGUUCUCAAUCGAAUCCUGACAAACCAGUGAAAUCUGAUGAACUCUAUCAAAGAAUAUUGACAUCUAUGCAAAACCCAGUACAGAAGCAUUUCUUUGCAAACAUUCUUCUGAAUAAUUCAGUUGUUGUAAACCAUAUACCACAUACAGACGUUCUAGAGUUGGGAAAUUUUGAUGGAGGAGUGUACAAUAUUGGAAACUCAUGUUUCUAUGAUGUAACUGAAGAGAAGUAUAAGCAGAAGUUGGCUGCUAUUGGGAAGGGUGGUGUGGAUGACGAUGAUGUUUCAAGACCAGACGAAUUGGGACUUCCAACAACAUCAAUCCAAUUUGAUGACCGACUAACUGUAAUUGUGGAAGAAGACACACCAUCAGACUCACCAGCGCCUGAUGCAUCUCCUAGAGAUCUUCCUGAAACUCCAACUCCAACUUCUCCAAUUUAUCGACCACUUUCAUCAUUGUCUUCUUUUUCAAGAAAAUUGUCCACAGUUGUGAGAAGAAGUAUUUUAAGACCUAUAUCAGACAUAAUACCUGUGAGAAAACGAUUAAUCUCAUUCAAACAGCAGGCUAUGAAUCCAUACGAAGCUGAAAGUCCAGAUGAGUUGGCUUUAAUUGAAGGAGCUGCUCUUUAUGACUAUGUUCUUCUGGAAAGAGCAGCAACAAGUGUUACAAUUUCAACUCCAGAAAAAGCUGAGAAAAGAUAUGAAAUUCUAUUAACACUUCCUUUUGAUGCAACAAGAAAACGAAUGUCAGUAAUUGUAAAUUCUCAAAAAGGACCAUUGAUGUACUGUAAAGGUGCAGAUUCAGCUAUAAUUUCAAGGUUAUCAUCAGAUUCUCUGGAAAGUAAAAGAGUUCAAGAUUUGAAAGAUCAUCUGGACAAUUACGCAAAGAAAGGUCUAAGAACGUUGUGUUUUGCAAUGAAGUAUAUUUCAAAAGAAGACUUCGAAGAUUUUCUAGAUUCUUAUAGAUUUCUAAUGGAAGAUGCAACAAGUGAACGUGAGAAGAUGUUAUCUGAAAAAGCAGAUGAACUUGAAACAAAUCUGAAAUUAUCUGGAGUGACUGGAAUUGAAGAUAGAUUGCAAGAUGGUGUUCCAGAUACUCUUCGUGCAUUGAGAGAUGCUGGAAUUCAAGUAUGGGUUCUAACUGGAGAUAAAUUGGAAACUGCCCAGAAUAUUGCUACGUCCAGUGGCCUUUUUCAUCCACAAAGAUCAUUAAAAGUGAUAGAAACUGAAACCGAUGCUGAAGAAGCUAGUGAAUCAGCUGGAUUAAACAUAAUAAUGUCCCCAGCUGCAAUUCGAUUAGCACAGGAUGGGAAUGCUCAUCUUAUGGAAGCUUUAAAAAAAGCCAAAACAGUAUUGUGUUAUCGGAUGACACCUUCUGAAAAAGCGACAAUUGUGAACACUGUAAAGAAGAGAAUUAAAGGAAAUGUUCUAGCAAUUGGCGACGGAGCCAACGACGUUCCAAUGAUUCAGGCGGCUCAUGUCGGAAUUGGAAUCGCUGGAAAAGAAGGAUUACAGGCGGCCAUGGCUUGUGAUUUUGCUAUUGCAAGGUUCAAAUUUUUAUCCAGAUUAUUACUGGUUCACGGACACUGGAGUUAUUAUAGAUUAGCAAACACUUUUCUAUAUUUUCUGUACAAAAAUGCGAAUGCUGUGUUCAUAAUUUUCUAUUACCAAUUUUAUAACGGAGCAUCUGGAACAAAUAUAGUUGAUCCAAUAUGGGGAGUCAUUUAUCCAAUUAUUUUCACAAGUGUUCAGCCUGUAGUUGUUGGAGUCUUAGAUCAAGAUUAUGAUGAUCAAACAUUAAUGAAUAAGCCAGAACUUUAUGUGAUUGGAAGGGAAAACCAACUGUACACGUGGAAACAUUUCUUUCGAGAUGUCAUUGAUGGUAUCUACCAAGCUGCAGUUAUUUAUUAUGUUGCAUAUCUGACUCUGGACAACUCUACGUCAAGCCUUUGGGAAAUGGGAUUUUACAUUGCAACUAGCUCAAUUCUUGUCAAUUCUGGUCAUCUAGCUCUACAAGUUCGCUAUUGGCAUUGGCAACUUGUUGCACUAUUCUCAUUUUUCAUACUUUUUAAUUUUGCAUUUUUCUUUGCCGAAUGUCUUACUGCGGCAGCUGCAAUGGUUCCUGAUCCACCAGUUUGGAUGCCAAUACAUGCAAUGGGAGAUCCUAGAUUUUGGUAUUAUCAAUUUAUUACGGUUAUUGUGGCAUUAUGCCCAAGAUUUACAUCAAUGUGUCUAAUGUCUUCUUUGAAAUCUGAAACAUCAAAAAGAUAAUUCCAUUUUCUUCGAAGCAUUUUUUAUUUUUUGUACAAAUAGUCUCAUAAAUUGAUCUGAUACACACAAACGGGUACUAUCUCUUCUCAAUAAAUCAAACAUUCUCUGGUAACCCGAAAGAUUUCACAGCUCGAUAACGUCGGCAGAAUCAUGUUCGAACUGGCUUUCAUCGCUGUUCUCGUCGCAGGUGCGGUCUAUGUUUUUAUGACCCUUCGCAAAAAUGGAUUUUUCGUCACCGUUGAGCCAUCUGUCACCACUUCACCAAAAAAUCUCGACAAACCGUUGACAGUCUACUACAAAUAUCAUUUGGGACCAUAUCAAAAUGUGAUGAAUGUGAUCGGCGAGGCAAAACAACUGUUGGCAUCCAGCCCAACACCUGCAACGUUCUUCGGCAUCUAUUACGAUAACCCAGAAGUCACCGAUUCCCACUUCCUCCAAUCUGCUGUUGGAGUCGUUUUUGGAUCAGAUGGAAAUGAUUUCCACAGUGAAAAAUAUUCGAAAGAUUUGACUGACAAUGGCUUUGAGAAGUUGGUUCUGCCAAAUGUCGAGAGAGCCGUUCAAGUUACUCAGCCAUCCACUGGUGGAUUCGCCUCUUUCUUGGCUCUUGUUUGGUUCACCUAUUCAACCAUCAGAAAGUAUAUUUCCGAAAACAAACUUGAAACAACUUACGCCGUCGAGUUCUACACCAACACCGAAAUCAAUGUCAUUUUCCCAUUGGACAACGCCAACGAGUUUCUCGUGAAAGAUUACCAAUCGAUCGACAAGCUUGAGAGUGAAGCCGCCAAGAAAAGAUUUGACUCAUCCGAGGAGGACAGCGAGAGUGAGCCAGAAGGAGCUGAGGAGCCAGCCACAGAGGAAAAUGAACAAUAA
RNAcentral lists this unclassified non-coding RNA (4509 nucleotides) under Caenorhabditis elegans. RNAcentral describes it as "Non-coding transcript of protein-coding gene tat-4". The record is from RNAcentral. Lineage: Eukaryota; Metazoa; Nematoda; Chromadorea; Rhabditida; Rhabditidae.